UCAAUCGUUUUACAAAAUAAUAAUUAUACGCCCAAAUUUGGCGUGUUUCUUAUACAUAAAAACAGCAUUUAUCCAAAACACCUUCCGUGCUUUUUGUUCUUCAUUCGUGCUGCCAUCAACACCAAUCACCAUUCGUCCAUGGAGAAGAAAUCAACGAUUCGUGCACCAGCGGCGUUCCAGCGGGAAGGUUUCGUGAACGUCGGCUGCGGCGGUGUUUUCGUGUGUGAGACAGACCGUGCUGAUGCCAUGCGGUCUGGUGGUCCAAGCUACGGCAGCUACUGCUGUGUGUCGUGGUGCUUUAACAACGGCAGAACCCAGAAGAAGCCUAUCUUGCCUUGGAAUAAAGACAUUGCGGAAA
Molecule: long non-coding RNA, 358 nt
Filed under: Dermacentor andersoni
Lineage: Eukaryota; Metazoa; Arthropoda; Arachnida; Ixodida; Ixodidae
Description: uncharacterized LOC126526920
Source: RNAcentral